This 873-nucleotide ribosomal RNA is filed under the name uncultured bacterium. Its description in RNAcentral is "bacterial SSU rRNA". It matches the Rfam family "Bacterial small subunit ribosomal RNA", at positions 66 to 930 of the family's 1533-position model. The record is from RNAcentral.
ACGGUAGCACAGAGAGCUUGCUCUCGGGUGACGAGUGGCGGACGGGUGAGUAAUGUCUGGGAAACUGCCUGAUGGAGGGGGAUAACUACUGGAAACGGUAGCUAAUACCGCAUAACGUCGCAAGACCAAAGAGGGGGACCUUCGGGCCUCUUGCCAUCAGAUGUGCCCAGAUGGGAUUAGCUAGUAGGUGGGGUAACGGCUCACCUAGGCGACGAUCCCUAGCUGGUCUGAGAGGAUGACCAGCCACACUGGAACUGAGACACGGUCCAGACUCCUACGGGAGGCAGCAGUGGGGAAUAUUGCACAAUGGGCGCAAGCCUGAUGCAGCCAUGCCGCGUGUAUGAAGAAGGCCUUCGGGUUGUAAAGUACUUUCAGCGGGGAGGAAGGUGUUGUGGUUAAUAACCGCAGCAAUUGACGUUACCCGCGGAAGAAGCACCGGCUAACUCCGUGCCAGCAGCCGCGGUAAUACGGAGGGUGCAAGCGUUAAUCGGAAUUACUGGGCGUAAAGCGCACGCAGGCGGUCUGUCAAGUCGGAUGUGAAAUCCCCGGGCUCAACCUGGGAACUGCAUUCGAAACUGGCAGGCUAGAGUCUUGUAGAGGGGGGUAGAAUUCCAGGUGUAGCGGUGAAAUGCGUAGAGAUCUGGAGGAAUACCGGUGGCGAAAGCGGCCCCCUGGACAAAGACUGACGCUCACGUGCGAAAGCGUGGGGAGCAAACAGGAUUAGAUACCCUAGUAGUCCACGCCGUAAACGAUGUCGACUUGGAGGUUGUGCCCUUGAGGCGUGGCUUCCGGAGCUAACGCGUUAAGUCGACCGCCUGGGGAGUACGGCCGCAAGGUUAAAACUCAAAUGAAUUGACGGGGGCCCGCACAAGC